Molecule: ribosomal RNA, 431 nt
Filed under: uncultured bacterium
Lineage: Bacteria
Description: partial 16S ribosomal RNA
Rfam family: Bacterial small subunit ribosomal RNA
Source: RNAcentral
AACGAACGCUGGCGGCAGGCUUAACACAUGCAAGUCGAGCGCCCCGCAAGGGGAGCGGCAGACGGGUGAGUAACGCGUGGGAACGUACCUUUUGGUUCGGAACAACUCCGGGAAACUGGAGCUAAUACCGGAUAAGCCCUAACGGGGAAAGAUUUAUCGCCGAAAGAUCGGCCCGCGUCUGAUUAGCUAGUUGGUGAGGUAACGGCUCACCAAGGCGACGAUCAGUAGCUGGUCUGAGAGGAUGCUCAGCCACACUGGGACUGAGACACGGCCCAGACUCCUGCGGGAGGCGGGGGUGGGGAAUAUUGGAGAAGGGGCGCAAUCCUGAUCCAGCCAUGCCGCGAGAAUGAUGAAGGCCUUAGGGUUGGAAAGCACUUUUGUCCGGGAAGAUAAUGACUGUACCGGAAGAAUAAGCCCCGGCUAACUUCGUG